GCUGCUGCUCCCCGGCGGGCCCGCAGCGACACGCACCCUGGAGCAUCCUCAAAGCGUGCUCUGGCCACGCUCGCUUCCUCUCCAUGAAAGAAACGUGCGUCUUGCGAUCUGUCAGGCCACCUUUGCAACCUCGUUUCGGCUGCCUUCCCCUUCAGCACGGUGACUUUUGGAGAUCUUUCUCCAGGAAGCGGCGGGACGCCGGAGCGAAGACGGGAGGAAAACCUGAGAGAACUGAUCAAUUGGAAAGACAAGGUAUUUCACAGGGGAGAGGAAAGAAGAAAAGAUUGCAAAGGUUGUUCCAAGAGCCAGGAGGCUUGGAAUAAAAAGACCUUUGAUGAAGAACCAGUAUCUUUCCUUUUUGAUUAGACUUAACAUUCACUAAGAAUAUUUUGUUUGUCUAGAGAAAUCUUCAAAAUUGUAAGAAAAAAUAUUGUGCCAUCUUGAUAUUUUUAGGGUAAAAAUUAAAACAUAAGAAUCAAAAAUGUCUCAUAGGACUUUUAUUAUAUGAGAAAGUUGUGAAUAGAGUAUAUGUGAAAUUCCCUGAUGAUAGUUUUUAUACCACUUUAAAAUUACCUGAAGCAAUAUCUCAAUUUUAACUGCACCACAGUUAAAUUUUAAGCAGAACCACAGCUCUGAAUUUUACUAGGUUCCAUAUUCAUUCAAUGAUCUCCCUCUGAGCAAGAAGAUGAGAGGAGAGGGAAACACAGGCAGGGGUUUGUGACCUGCCCAGGUGAGGUUAGCAAAGGUCAGCACUCAGUGACAUGCAGCCACAGACCUGUGCUGCUCACCAUCUAUUACAAGAAAUAAAAGUUGUUUUGUGUGUGCCUGAGGAUAAAAU
Molecule: long non-coding RNA, 838 nt
Filed under: Cyanistes caeruleus (blue tit)
Lineage: Eukaryota; Metazoa; Chordata; Aves; Passeriformes; Paridae
Description: lncRNA (ENSCCEG00000009361.1)
Source: RNAcentral